RNAcentral lists this ribosomal RNA (442 nucleotides) under uncultured bacterium. Its description in RNAcentral is "partial 16S ribosomal RNA". It matches the Rfam family "Bacterial small subunit ribosomal RNA", at positions 338 to 795 of the family's 1533-position model. The record is from RNAcentral.
CCUACGGGAGGCUGCAGUGGGGAAUAUUGGGCAAUGGGCGCAAGCCUGACCCAGCAACGCCGCGUGAAGGAAGAAGGCUUUCGGGUUGUAAACUUCUUUUAAGAGGGAAGAGCAGAAGACGGUACCUCUUGAAUAAGCCACGGCUAACUACGUGCCAGCAGCCGCGGUAAUACGUAGGUGGCAAGCGUUGUCCGGAUUUACUGGGGGUAAAGGGCGUGCAGCCGGGAAGACAAGUCAGAUGUGAAAUCCCGCGGCUCAACCGCGGAACUGCAUUUGAAACUGUUUUUCUUGAGUACCGGAGAGGUCAUCGGAAUUCCUUGUGUAGCGGUGAAAUGCGUAGAUAUAAGGAAGAACACCAGUGGCGAAGGCGGAUGACUGGACGGCAACUGACGGUGAGGCGCGAAAGCGUGGGGAGCAAACAGGAUUAGAUACCCUGGUAGUC